RNAcentral lists this ribosomal RNA (497 nucleotides) under uncultured bacterium. Its description in RNAcentral is "partial 16S ribosomal RNA". It matches the Rfam family "Bacterial small subunit ribosomal RNA", at positions 28 to 507 of the family's 1533-position model. The record is from RNAcentral.
GAUGAACGCUGGCGGCGUGCCUAAUACAUGCAAGUCGAGCGAACAGACGAGGAGCUUGCUCCUCUGACGUUAGCGGCGGACGGGUGAGUAACACGUGGAUAACCUACCUAUAAGACUGGGAUAACUUCGGGAAACCGGAGCUAAUACCGGAUAAUAUAUUGAACCGCAUGGUUCAAUAGUGAAAGACGGUUUUGCUGUCACUUAUAAAUGGAUCCGCGCCGCAUUAGCUAGUUGGUAAGGUAACGGCUUACCAAGGCAACGAUGCGUAGCCGACCUGAGAGGGUGAUCGGCCACACUGGAACUGAGACACGGUCCAGACUCCUACGGGAGGCAGCAGUAGGGAAUCUUCCGCAAUGGGCGAAAGCUUGACGGAGCAACGCCGCGUGAGUGAUGAAGGUCUUCGGAUCGUAAAACUCUGUUAUUAGGGAAGAACAAAUGUGUAAGUAACUAUGCACGUCUUGACGGUACCUAAUCAGAAAGCCACGGCUAACUACGUG